Molecule: long non-coding RNA, 2194 nt
Organism: Maylandia zebra (zebra mbuna)
Lineage: Eukaryota; Metazoa; Chordata; Actinopteri; Cichliformes; Cichlidae
Source: RefSeq, a predicted model, not a curated record
UUUCCUUUUAUGGAGUUGUUUUUCUGCUAAUGCAGCACUUUCCUCACAACCCCCUCCUGUAAGUUUUAGAGAAUAUAUACCCAUCCUCACAGCAAAUAUUUGGAAUCUUUUGAUGUGAGCUGUUUUGAGAGGUUGUCUCUGUCUCAAUAAAAGUUCACUGAUUCCCCAUCUGCAGCAGGUGUCCGGUUGUCUUCAUUCUCCGCCAGCCUGGAUCCGCUCCAGGUCAAACUGGAACGGGAGGGAGGACAUCGGCCGUGGUCUGAGUGAACGGAGUUUGGACAAAAGCUGUGUACACACAAAAAACAAGGUAAGCAGACCUUUUAUUUCUGCUAUAUUGAACAUUAUAAAAAUACUUAGUGUCCAAACUCCUAGUAAUUCAUAACCAAAAUUGUCUGGCUUACUUAAGGCUUGUUGAGAAUCAGACAAGUGAAUAAGAGAUAAGUGAAUAAGAAAUAAGUGAAUAAGUGAAUAAAGAUAAGAGUGAACUGAGGUCUGACCACGGUUGCAGCCGACGGGUUUGCUCUCCGGUGUCGGAUAAAUACCUCAGUGCAGGUCUGGGACCUUGAAAGGGUUUAUUAGUAACGCCUUUCUAAACAAAUUAAAAGGUUAAAGGCCUUGAGAAUAUUUUUUAGUAAUAUUCUCUAAACUACAGAAGGGUUAGGAAGGCCCAGAGGACUUUAUUAGAAAAGAUCCUCUAAAACUUAAAAAAGAGAAGUACUGGUUGGAGUCCAAAGGACGGGUCCCUUUGAUCAAUAGGAGAAAACGGAUCUCUUCUUAAAACCCCGAUGAUUUUAGUGUUUUAAAUGUUUUGAUGUUCUGUUUGAUAUUGGACACACAUAAAUACACGCUGAAUGCUUGCUGUGGAACACUGGGCAGGACAGUUUGGUUCUCCGUUGUUCACAGAUUACACAAUUAAAGGAACUAGGUUCCUCUUUUGGUUAAAAUAAUACACCACACAUAGAAUUUUUUUACACAUUUAUUACAUACAUAAGGAGGGUAAUGAGUGACUGCAGGUAAUGUAUGAAGUGUGAAUGAGACGUGUGAACAAGGUGACAACCAACUAGCACCCCUAUCAGGAAGCUCUAGGCAAGGUUACCCGCCAGACUCCGGUUUGGUAGAAGCUUGGUAACACCUGAAGGGAUAUUUCAGUGCUGACUCACCUUUAAAGCAGCGCCCCAGCUGAUUAGUGCCUAACAGAGGCAGAAACCCAGCUGGCCCAAAUUCUCCUUUAAAAUCAAUAAAAGAACACUCCUCCAUUGACAGUAAAAUGGAUGGAGAAUUAGAUCGAGAAACUAAUGAUGAUGGUUGGGGUCCCGGUGUUAUUCUUAGCACAUUGGGAGAACAAUUAACAUGUGUUGAGACAGUUAUCAACUCCACACACCAGCCUAAAGAAGCAAAAAAGCAGAAAGAGUCAUUGAGGAAAACAGCUGAAAGAUGCUUUUAAAUUAGUCAAAAAUUUAGCAACACCAGCAGAGAAAUAGAGAAGUGAGAUAAAGUUGUUCUGGCAUAUGGUGUUUUCUUAGGAAUUCGAGCGCUAUCGGGAGGGCGUUCCCGAGGUGUGUAUUGAUCAGCAAGGCUAGGCCUGGGCUAUAGGUGCUUUUAAAUUAGUCAAAAAGUUAGGGGUAACCUCUUCUGGCAUAUGUCCAUGCGGGCCCGUGUGUAAAUAGAACAUAAAUUACCGGUGUGUGUAAAUAAAGUGUAAAAUAGUGGUAUAAACUGUCUGUUGAAUCACUCCUGAGUGUUGAAAAAAGGAAAAACUCUUUUCUGCUCUCUCUGAGAGAGGGGCUGUGUGUGUGAGACAGGAAGUGUGCAUGCCCAUAGAAGGAAAGAGAUGAGGUAAACUCUGUGCAGAUAGACCGAAGUAAAAAAAAAAAAAAAAAAAAGGAAAAGGGUCUCUCUCUGUCUCUGUGAGAGAAAAAAGGUGGGGGCCGAGUGAGCCCGCGGGGCCGAGCGGGUCCGCGGGAGCGAGCGUGUAUGCUGUAUGAGGAAGAAGGGGGUGAGAGGGAGCGAGUGAAAAGAGUAAUCGAGUAUUUGGUGAUUUUUUAUUAUUUCAGAGGCACUGGGUAAGAGUUUUGACUUUAGCUAUGAGAGUUGUGAAAAGAGCAGGUUUUUCUUUUGUUGUAGACUGUGAGUAAUCGGUGUUUUUCUGCCUAUUGUGCUGCGUGGAAGACACAGAAGUGUAGAAAUGUUUGUG